This 121-nucleotide ribosomal RNA is filed under the name Fukomys damarensis (Damara mole-rat). The record is from RNAcentral. Lineage: Eukaryota; Metazoa; Chordata; Mammalia; Rodentia; Bathyergidae.
CUCUACAGUCACACCAGCCCAAGCACGCUGGAUCUUAUUUGAUCUCAGAAGCUAAGCAGGAUUGUUCCUAGUUGCACUUGGAUGGGAGAUUGCCUUGGAUGGGAGUUGCACUUGGAUGGGA